UGGGGCGUCGCCAAGCGGUAAGGCACUGGACUCUGACUCCAGCAUUCGAGGGUUCGAAUCCUUCCGCCCCAG
Molecule: transfer RNA, 72 nt
Filed under: Syntrophothermus lipocalidus DSM 12680
Lineage: Bacteria; Bacillati; Bacillota; Clostridia; Eubacteriales; Syntrophomonadaceae
Rfam family: tRNA
About the family: Transfer RNA (tRNA) molecules are approximately 80 nucleotides in length. Their secondary structure includes four short double-helical elements and three loops (D, anti-codon, and T loops).
Source: Rfam by way of RNAcentral